Molecule: long non-coding RNA, 945 nt
Organism: Grammomys surdaster
Lineage: Eukaryota; Metazoa; Chordata; Mammalia; Rodentia; Muridae
Exons: 2
Source: RefSeq, a predicted model, not a curated record
AACUGCAGAUGGGUCGAAAGCUGUCCUGGGUAGCAACUUCUAUCAAAAGAAAUGAAAUGCAAUGGCAUGCUCUCUUCACAGUUCACAUCUGUGCUGCAGAGCCGAGAAGGAUCAGAUGACAGAGACAAGUAGCCAGCACAAAUGAAUCCUCUGAAGGAAUUGUUAGUGGGGCAGCUGUUCGGAAUCUGCUGUUUCCAAUGACCAACACACUCGAGUCUCGACGUCUCUUGGCCCUGGGUUUGACUUUAUGUUGGUGUAAAAGUGUAUGCUAAGUUCUGGAAGUCUCAGAUGUUGGCCCCAAGGCCAACUAUGGAAAGAAUACUCUAUUUUCUCCUCAGUUUUCCCAUCUGGCUCCUAAUGCUUACGACGGCUGGUACCUGUCCUUCCAACACAAAGCUGUUGGUCCUUCCUUUCCUCACUGAGGAAAAACAAAAAUCACAGAGGCAAGUUCAAAACCCAUGUUGAGGAACAACAAGCUUUUGUUUGUUUGUUUGUUUGUUUGUUUGUUUCAGCUCCCUUGAGCCUUUCCUUGUUGGUGUGUGUAGUCUGGCCACUACUGAGUUUGGAGUGUCCUGAGUUGUGUUCUGUGACCCCCAUAACCCAAAAUACUUCCCCACUAGCCUGAUACAUGCCUGACCCUCAUUUAGGUAAAGACAUUGGAUCAUCUACAAGGGCCACAUUACCCAGAAAGCCUUGCAAUGUCAGCAAUUCAACCUCUGAGGAGAAGUGAGCAGGUAUAGGCUGGUGCACAUGCCUCCAGAAGACCACGUGGCAGAGGACAUAUGAGAAAGACAAGGCUGUGGCUAUAAACUUUGGUGAGGUGAAAUAUCUUCAGGAGCUGCUACUGUUAACUCUGAAAAGCUAACCUGGGUGAAGUGGCUUGUCCCACAUCAAAUCACCAAGUCAUCUUCAUAUAUGCAUAUUAAGUAAAUCCUUUUUUACGGA